This 300-nucleotide ribosomal RNA is filed under the name uncultured Cellvibrio sp. RNAcentral describes it as "bacterial SSU rRNA". It matches the Rfam family "Bacterial small subunit ribosomal RNA", at positions 501 to 795 of the family's 1533-position model. The record is from RNAcentral. Lineage: Bacteria; Pseudomonadati; Pseudomonadota; Gammaproteobacteria; Cellvibrionales; Cellvibrionaceae.
CGCUGUGACUUGCCGGCGACUGCGGUGAAUCUGUGGGUGCGGGCGUUGGCUGGUAGGUGUUUGCGGAAAGUGCUCGAUUGCGUGUUUGCGCGUCGUGAGUUAAAUCCACUUGCUCAAGUGGUUGCGUUCCUUCGAAACGGGUAGACUGGAGGUAUGCAGGGGAGAACGGAAUUCCUGGUGUAGCGGUGAAAUGCGCAGAUAUCAGGAGGAACACCGGUGGCGAAUGCGGUUCUCUGGGCAUGUCCUGACGCUGAGGAGCGAAAGUGUGGGGAGCGAACAGGAUUAGAUACCCCAGUAGUC